UGAACCUGGUUCUUUAGACUCCAACAAAUGAAGGAGCACCUAUUAAGUUUCUGAGACAUUAGUGCUCUCAGAAGUCUAUUACUAUGUUAAAAAUUUUGGUAUAUACCAAAAUCAGUACGUUCUCUCCCUUCAGUUUCUGUUAACAACAAUGCCUGCUGCUUUGUGAAAUAAUGUUACCUAUGUCUGGCUGACAUGCAGAAACUUGUACUUCUCCUCUGUUUUUCCUCUCCAGUGAUCAGGCUCAUAGCUGGAAGGAGCUUGCCUUGAGUCUCAAAUAAGACUUUGGACUUGAAACGUUUGAGUUUUUGCUGUAACAGUUACUUUAGAUUUUCAAGGAGCUCAUCUGGAGUGACCGUGCAGGUCACAGAGGUUAACAUGGCAUUCAUGGGGCAGUCAGUUGGCCUAAAAGACCUUACAUACUGCUUGUCUACUAUGCUGUGA
This 441-nucleotide long non-coding RNA is filed under the name Callithrix jacchus (white-tufted-ear marmoset). RNAcentral describes it as "lncRNA (ENSCJAG00000081456.1)". The record is from RNAcentral. Lineage: Eukaryota; Metazoa; Chordata; Mammalia; Primates; Cebidae.